Molecule: non-coding RNA, 827 nt
Filed under: Stichopus naso
Lineage: Eukaryota; Metazoa; Echinodermata; Holothuroidea; Aspidochirotida; Stichopodidae
Source: RNAcentral
UACAAGCUUGGUUCUAGCUUAAGAUUUAGCCCUCCUCUACCUGCCACAUGCAAGCUCCGAAGCGAUCCAGCAAGAUGAAAGAAUUUUCCUAAAAACUUUUUCGACGGAUAAGUUUACUACCUAACUACUAGCCCUCACUUGCGGUCAGCAGUGCUUAACUUUAUAAAAUUUGGGAAACCAAGAAAUAGACAAGAGGAAAAAGGAUGGUUAAUAACGUGCCAGCAGCCGCGGUUACACGUUAAGCCUAAGUUAAAUCAGACCGGUCCAAAGGAGGAAAGGCUACAAGAUUUAUUUUAAAGACAACACCUAGCAGUAGCAAGCUAAAGACAAAAAAAUAAAAUAGCAGAGCCCAACUGAAAAGGAGAGAAAUAAACUGGAAUUAGAUACUCCACUAUACUCUCCAGUAAACCAGACAAACACCAGAGUAGUACGGUUCACACUAAAACUUAAAGAACUUGGCGGUUUUCUAGCCCUUUUCGGAGGAGCUUGUCAUUGAAUUGAUAACCCACAAGGGACCUCACCAUCCUUUGACCCCCAGCCUGUAUACCAUCGCCGUCAGCUCACCUCCCAGAAAGUGAACUAAAAGGGAACACCCUUUACGUCAGAUCAAGGUGCAGCCAAUAGGAUGGGAAUCGAUGAGCUACUUUACUUAAGAACUGAGGACUUAUCACUGAAAAGUGAUCCCGAAAGAGGAUUCGACAGUAAUUCUUUAAAGAGACACCAAAUGAAACCAGCUCUAGAAUGCGCACACAUCGCCCGUCACUCUCGUCAAACGAGGAGAAAAGUCGUAACAUAGUAGGUGUACUGGAAAGUGCACCUGGUAAAAG